Molecule: ribosomal RNA, 468 nt
Filed under: uncultured bacterium
Lineage: Bacteria
Description: partial 16S ribosomal RNA
Rfam family: Bacterial small subunit ribosomal RNA
Source: RNAcentral
GACGAACGCUGGCGGCGUGCUUAACACAUGCAAGUCGAACGGAAAGGCCCUGCUUUUGUGGGGUGCUCGAGUGGCGAACGGGUGAGUAACACGUGAGUAACCUGCCCUUGACUUUGUGAUAACUUCAGGAAACUGGGGCUAAUACCGGAUAGGAGCUCAUGCUGCAUGGUGGGGGUUGGACAGUUUCGGCGGUUGGGGAUGGACUCGCGGCUUAUCAGCUUGUUGGUGGGGUAGUGGCUUACCAAGGCUUUGACGGGUAGCCGGCCUGAGAGGGUGACCGGCCACAUUGGGACUGAGAGACGGCCCAGACUGCUACGGGAGGCAGCAGUGGGGAAUAUUGCACAAUGGGCGGAAGCCUGAUGCAACAACGCCGCGUGCGGGAUGACGGCCUUCGGGUUGUAAACCGCUUUCGCCUGUGACGAAGCGUGAGUGACGGUAAUGGGUAAAGAAGCACCGGCUAACUACGUG